GUUGGAGCGUGCCCUAGCCUCCACCGUUCUUCUCAAAACCGCCUCUUCUCUCCGCCAAAAUCCCUCUCCAUUCUUUUGUAACCCUUCUUCCACUCAUCCACUUGAUUCUCCAAGUCUCUCUGCCUGCUGCUGUGGUGAGAAUGGCUCUGAAGAUGAAGCUCCCUCAGAGAAGAAAGUCGGUCCAUGAGCUAGAAGAAAAUAUCCGCAGAAAAAGACAAGCUGCUCAGUCCUCCACUGCUCCCACUCCAGCUUCUGUGUCAGCUCAAGGUCCCUCUCAAUCUUCCCUUAGCCCCAGUA
RNAcentral lists this long non-coding RNA (297 nucleotides) under Elaeis guineensis (African oil palm). RNAcentral's name for it is "long non-coding RNA (EGUI_LNC036064)". The record is from RNAcentral. Lineage: Eukaryota; Viridiplantae; Streptophyta; Magnoliopsida; Arecales; Arecaceae.